Molecule: ribosomal RNA, 301 nt
Filed under: uncultured bacterium
Lineage: Bacteria
Description: partial 16S ribosomal RNA
Rfam family: Bacterial small subunit ribosomal RNA
Source: RNAcentral
CAGCCGCCGCGGUAAUACGGAGGGUGCAAGCGUUAAUCGGAAUUACUGGGCGUAAAGCGCACGCAGGCGGUCUGACAAGUCAGAUGUGAAAUCCCCGGGCUUAACCUGGGAACUGCAUUUGAAACUGUCAGGCUGGAGUCUUGUAGAGGGGGGUGGAAUUCCAGGUGUAGCGGUGAAAUGCGUAGAGAUCUGGAGGAAUACCGGUGGCGAAGGCGGCCCCCUGGACAAAGACUGACGCUCAGGUGCGAAAGCGUGGGGAGCAAACAGGAUUAGAUACCCCAGUAGUCCCUGUCUUUUAUAC